This 739-nucleotide long non-coding RNA is filed under the name Mus spicilegus (steppe mouse). RNAcentral describes it as "lncRNA (ENSMSIG00000021221.1)". The record is from RNAcentral. Lineage: Eukaryota; Metazoa; Chordata; Mammalia; Rodentia; Muridae.
GGUCUUUGUAGUUAAAUUAAGCUGUUGAAUUCUAGAGACACCUACUGUGUUCUAGGCCAAGUUUUGAGACACUGUGUGAUUUAGCAACAUUCUUGUUUUUCAGCAUUGCGUACAUUUCUGUGUUUUCUUUCUUCAUCAACAGAUUCUAUGGACAAUGCUAUUUUAGGUUUCAAACUCACAAAGUUUAAACACUCACCUUAAGAACUAUCUUCAAAGUUCUUAAAUACAUUUAAUACUCUUUUCUGAUUCUUCAUAAAAAUUGCACCCUAUCUGCCCAGUGAAACUAUGCAGUGAAUAGAGCAAUGAAGAAAUGUUUCUUUGGAAGGAAGCGAUAAUGGAAGCACAUUAACAAAUAGAACAAAUGAAAUGAGAAAGAGUAAUACACAGACAUGUUUAUUUAAUGGAAUGAGCCUGCAAGAAAGGAAUAAUUGACAUCAACAUUCAAAUGAAGUUCAGUGCUAAUAGUAGAAAUGUUAUUUUCCAUAGAAAAGUAAGUUGGACUGAGAACGUGGACUCCAAUGGAGGAGUUAGAGAAAGGACUGAAAGGGCUGAAGUCAUUUGCAACCCCAUAGGAAGAACAAAUUAUCAACCACCAGAACCCCAAGAGCUCCCAUGGACUAAACCAUCAACCAAAGAGUAUACAUUGAGGAUGACCCAUGGCUCCAGACACAUAUGUAGCAGAGGAUAUCCUUGUUGUGCAUCCAUGGGAGGAGAGGUCCUUGGUCCUGUGAAGGCUUGA